This 253-nucleotide ribosomal RNA is filed under the name uncultured bacterium. RNAcentral describes it as "partial 16S ribosomal RNA". It matches the Rfam family "Bacterial small subunit ribosomal RNA", at positions 524 to 776 of the family's 1533-position model. The record is from RNAcentral.
UACGUAGGGUGCAAGCGUUGUCCGGAAUUAUUGGGCGUAAAGAGCUCGUAGGCGGUUUGUUGCGUCGGCUGUGAAAUCCCGAGGCUCAACCUCGGGUCUGCAGUCGAUACGAGCAAACUAGAGUGUUGCAGGGGAGACUGGAAUUCCUGGUGUAGCGGUGAAAUGCGCAGAUAUCAGAAGGAACACCAGCGGCGAAGGCGGCGCUCUGGGCCGGAACUGACGCUGAGGAGCGAAAGCAUGGGGAGCGAACAGG